RNAcentral lists this non-coding RNA (775 nucleotides) under Enterocytozoon bieneusi H348. RNAcentral's name for it is "Microsporidia small subunit ribosomal RNA". It matches the Rfam family "Microsporidia small subunit ribosomal RNA", at positions 530 to 1311 of the family's 1311-position model. Lineage: Eukaryota; Fungi; Microsporidia; Enterocytozoonidae. The record is from Rfam by way of RNAcentral.
AACGGAUUGGGAGUGUAGUUUAGACGGGCGAAGAAUGAAAUCUCAAGACCCCAGUUUGGACUAACGGAGGCGAAGGCGACACUCUUAGACGUAUCUUAGGAUCAAGGACGAAGGCAGGAGUAUCGAAAGUGAUUAGACACCGCUGUAGUUCCUGCAGUAAACUAUGCCGACAGCCUGUGUGUGAGAAUACGUGGGCGGGAGAAAUCUUAGUGUUCGGGCUCUGGGGAUAGUACGCUCGCAAGGGUGAAACUUAAAGCGAAAUUGACGGAAGGACACUACCAGGAGUGGAUUGUGCUGCUUAAUUUAACUCAACGCGGGAAAACUUACCAGGGUCAAGUCAUUCGUUGAUCGAAUACGUGAGAAUGGCAGGAGUGGUGCAUGGCCGUUGGAAAUUGAUGGGGCGACCUUUAGCUUAAAUGCUUAAACCAGUGAGACCUCCUUGACAGGUGUUCUGUAACACAGGAGGGUGGAGGCUAUAACAGGUCCGUGAUGCCCUUAGAUAUCCUGGGCAGCAAGCGCAAUACAAUAUCUCUUCAGUAGACAAAGUGAUUUGAGAUGAGUAGGAUCUACGUUUGUAAAUACGUAGUGAAUAAGGAAUUCCUAGUAACGGUGCCUCAUCAAGGCAUGGUGAAUGUGUCCCUGUUCUUUGUACACACCGCCCGUCACUAUUUCAGAUGGUCAUAGGGAUGAAGAGCUUCGGCUCUGAAUAUCUAUGGCUAGAUAAAGUACAAGUCGUAACAAGGUUUCAGUUGGAGAACCAGCUGAAGGAUCAUUU